UGUCUGGCUUCCUGUGAAGUUCAUGGUGAUAAAUUGAGUGAUUGAACAUUAUUAAGAGGUUGGGAAUCAGGACAUGAAGGUACCAACUGUGAGCACAACUGCUCCCUGCUCAUCCGUUUUCAAAGUGCCCAGUGAAAAAGGAGUCUUCCUGCUUGCAGCUUGCCAGAGAAAUCAUACCAGCCUCUUUCCUGCCUGACAUCCUGGUUCUUCUAGCACUGGUAGGGCAUGGUGGGACGUUCUGGAGCAGACAAACUGGGAUGACUGGAAGGAUGGGAAAAAUGAGGAAGUCACCAGGUGGAAGAUAGUUUCACUGCUCAUAACAUCUUGGUGGGGUUGGGAAAGAUGUGAAAGUGGCAGAUGCAAAGAAUAAAGGAUUGUGCUGAAGAAAUCAACCACAUUCCACGGAGGGAGAAGGUCCAGGGUGGUUCCUGUGUGUCUGGCUCAGAUGAUGUGAGCACAAAAGCCUUAUUAGCAAGGGUAAGUAAUGCAAGUACUGGAGAUGUUGGCAUGGAGCCUGAUGAAGACAGCUGUAGAGAGGUGUUGGGGGGGCUUACAUGAGAAUGAAGACCAUGGAGAGGUCCAGGAUGGAGAAAAGUAUUUCAGAGUCCCUGAAGUGGGGCUAUGUGUGCACAUGAAGAUCCCCUGCAGAUUAGGCUAAAAGGGAAGACAAGGGCAGGAUUAAGGCAUGAGCUGUGAGGGCUACAGCAGACAGAGGCUCUCAGGACCUGAAUGAACCUGAGGUAGCAUCAAGGUUUCAGGGAGAGGAAGCUUGGGAAAUAGCCAGUGCAGGGUUUCUGGAUGAGCAGUUCAUGAAGCUGGAAGGUGAUAAAAGCCAGAUGGAGGGUCUCCAGGAGCAAGUCUAAGGCUGUUCAGAAGUUAAUACAGCCUGUCCAAGGAGCUUAGGAAGGUGAGGAGAGUGGGAACGUAAUUGAAGAGAUUCAGUCAAAGGAAACUUUUAAACAUGUACAAUGACUUGCUUGGUAUGCAGAGAGAAACUCAUCCCUAGUGUAAGCUUAAUGAAAUCAGUAGCUUUGGCUUUAGCUUUGUCUGUUAAUUCCACAUGACGGAGGCCGAAUGAGGGGAGCUGUUUGUUUUGCACAAAGCGAUGCUAUCAAAAGUCUCUGAAUUCUCUUUUACCCAUCAGAAAUUAUAACCUAAAUGGUCUAUUUUUCUCUUCCUUCCCCUCACCCUUCUGCCUGCCCCCUUAGGAGAAAGCUCUCUCUGCCCAUCAUUGGGGUGUCACAUAUGGGCCCUUGUCACAUGUAAUGGGCAGAGCAGUACCUGUGCGUGCUAUCACUGCACAUGUACCUGCUACAGAGAUGGGCCCCUGGGUGGUAGCUUGCCUUCAUCUCACAACCAUCCCCAAGGCGCAAACUGGAUCUGGAUUUGGGUUCUUCACCCUGCUGUGAAAUCACAGGUCCCUCCUUCCCUGGUUCUUCCUGUGCUGGUUCUUAAAUGACCAUGCUCUGUGUAGAGUAUUUUGACUAUGACACCUCCUGGCAUCAAAGGGAGGGGAGGACCACACCAGUGGCAGCAAAGGCUAUUGGAAGAGUCCCUUGGAUCUAAGACUAAAUGAAGCCUAGGACUAUAUAUUGUAACAUUUAAUCUCUAUUUUGGCAUGAUCAGUUGCAGAAUUUGAUGGAUGUGAUUUCUUGCCUGAGACCUGUAAUAAAAGUAGGGCUGAAUUAUUGUGGUUUUUUUUUUUUACAGAAAAUGAGGGGAACUAGGGAAUGCAACCCAAUUUAUUUAGUGUUUAUUCAUCCAGCAGGAUCUGCUACUCUCUGCUGUCUUCGCUCAUACCUAAACAAAGUGAGGAAGCCUCUACGAGAACAUUGGUGGCAAUAAGUACUUUCUUCCCUUGUUUGUCUUUGGGACAGCUCAGUCUCUCACACGGAGCAGCAAUGUUAUUAAAGAAGAUUCAGUAUAAAGCAUGAAAAACCCAAGAUAAUAAUUGUUGAACCAUUACACUGAGGAGUUCCAGCAAGAUUAUUUCAAAGAGAAAAUGAUGCUUGUGCAGGGAGGGUGUCUGGGGACUGGCUGGGAAAGAGGGAAGAAUAGGCUUAAAUACUGCAGCCGCCUUCCUUGUUGUUUCUUACCUAUUAGAUAAGAUGUUGUAUGGCUGUGCAGGUUCAGCCUGACCUGAGCUGCGCACCUUCUACCAGGGUUUGAAACUGUCAGCUAGGAAACACGGCCUGUGAUGGUUGGGGCAUUGCAGGCAUAUGUGUGCUGGGUAAGUGGAAGGCAGGAGGGGUUGUAGGGCAAGAGGGAAUGGAGCAAGGGGUGUAAAGAAGAAGAGAGGGUGGUCUUGUGGCUUGGAUGCUAACUUGGGUCUUGGGGUGGUACCCGCUUGCUCUUGUUGAUGAAGACUUUGUUUAACAGAACCCCUGUUUUGUUUAACAGAAUAAAUAUUGUGAAUAUAAGUAUUUGCAAUAAAUAUCCCUUGAGCAAAAGGAAAGAAAGCACAAGCAGGCAGAAGCCUUGCUACCUCCUUUUCCACACACAUUUGGGCUUCCUCACUUUGAGGAAUCCCACUGUAGUGGGAGGUCAAAGCACAGGAGCCAUGAAGGCUUUGUUAUUUUUCCUUCCUGUGCUUCUUAAGCGGUGAUGCCCAUGAGAUUAGUGU
Long non-coding RNA from Pezoporus occidentalis (night parrot), 2623 nucleotides. RefSeq lists it as uncharacterized. NCBI's taxonomy places the organism in Eukaryota, Metazoa, Chordata, Aves, Psittaciformes, Psittacidae. The record is from RefSeq and is a predicted model, not a curated record. The transcript is spliced from 3 exons.